AUAGUUACCUGGCAUGGGAGAAACAAUGAUCAUGAAGGUUGUGCUCCCAGGCUGAGGUUAUCCCAUUGCACUGGGGGUGCCCUGUCACCUGUGAUGUCCCCAAAUGCAGGAUACUCGACUGCAAAAUUUGUGGUAGCGGGAGACUGCGUUCAUGCUUUUCCCUG
Molecule: small nuclear RNA, 164 nt
Organism: Carcharodon carcharias (great white shark)
Lineage: Eukaryota; Metazoa; Chordata; Chondrichthyes; Lamniformes; Lamnidae
Product: U1 spliceosomal RNA
Exons: 1
Source: RefSeq, a predicted model, not a curated record